Molecule: unclassified non-coding RNA, 270 nt
Filed under: Hevea brasiliensis (rubber tree)
Lineage: Eukaryota; Viridiplantae; Streptophyta; Magnoliopsida; Malpighiales; Euphorbiaceae
Source: RNAcentral
UAAGAAGAAGGUUGGGGAUGGUGUGGUAGUUGCUACUGAUUUGCCUUCCAUGUAGGAUGACCAGAUUAAAGUAGCUCCUAAGCAGAUGUUGCAGACCAGAAUGCUUGUAAGAGGAGAUCAACAGAUAGAACAGGAACUUAUUAAAUGCCUUAAUCUGUCACCAGAAGAUCCCACUUGGGAUGAUAGAAGUCUUAUUGAAGGCCAAUUUCCUAAAGUUUCACUUUCUUGAGGACAAGAAAGAGCUAAAGGAGGGGGUAUUGUUACAUAUUA